GGGAAUGUGGCUUAGUGGUAGAGUGCUUGCCUAGCAUGCAUGAAGCCCUGGGUUCAAUUCCUCAGUAGUACUA
Molecule: transfer RNA, 73 nt
Filed under: Dipodomys ordii (Ord's kangaroo rat)
Lineage: Eukaryota; Metazoa; Chordata; Mammalia; Rodentia; Heteromyidae
Rfam family: tRNA
About the family: Transfer RNA (tRNA) molecules are approximately 80 nucleotides in length.
Source: Rfam by way of RNAcentral